RNAcentral lists this ribosomal RNA (29 nucleotides) under Penicillium chrysogenum. RNAcentral describes it as "partial 28S ribosomal RNA". Lineage: Eukaryota; Fungi; Ascomycota; Eurotiomycetes; Eurotiales; Aspergillaceae. The record is from RNAcentral.
UGACCUCGGAUCAGGUAGGAAACAGGGCU